RNAcentral lists this ribosomal RNA (741 nucleotides) under uncultured bacterium. RNAcentral's name for it is "bacterial SSU rRNA". It matches the Rfam family "Bacterial small subunit ribosomal RNA", at positions 1 to 751 of the family's 1533-position model. The record is from RNAcentral.
UAGGGUUCGAUUCUGGCUCAGGAUGAACGCUAGCUACAGGCUUAACACAUGCAAGUCGAGCGGUUUGUGCUUUUGCACAUUCAGCGGCAGACGGGUGAGUAACACGUAUCUAACCUUCCCCUUACUUGGGCAUAGCCUCUGGAAACGGAGAUUAAUUUCCGAUGUGGUGUACAUUUCGCAUGUUUUGCGCACCAAAGAUUUAUCGGUAAGGGAUGGGGAUGCGCUCCAUUAGGUUGUAGGUAGGGUAAUGGCCUACCUAGCCUAUGAUGGAUAGGGGUUCUGAGAGGAAGGUCCCCCACAUUGGAACUGCGACACGGUCCAAACUCCUACGGGAGGCAGCAGUGAGGAAUAUUGGUCAAUGGCCGGAAGGCUGAACCAGCCAAGUAGCGUGCAGGAUGACUGCCUUAUGGGUUGUAAACUGCUUUUUUACGGGAAUAAUUAUGAUCACGUGUGAUUAUUUGCAUGUACCGUAAGAAUAAGGAUCGGCUAACUCCGUGCCAGCAGCCGCGGUAAUACGGAGGAUCCUAGUGUUAUCCGGAUUUAUUGGGUUUAAAGGGAGCGUAGGCGGGAGGUCAAGUCAGCUGUGAAAUGUAUCUGCUUAACGGGUACACUGCAGUUGAAACUGGUUUUCUUGAGUGCGUAAGAGGCAGGCGGAAUUCGUUGUGUAGCGGUGAAAUGCUUAGAUAUGACGAGGAACUCCUAUUGCGAAGGCAGCUUGCUGGGUCGUUACUGACGCUGAUG